Molecule: ribosomal RNA, 928 nt
Filed under: Leratiomyces erythrocephalus
Lineage: Eukaryota; Fungi; Basidiomycota; Agaricomycetes; Agaricales; Strophariaceae
Description: LSU rRNA
Rfam family: Eukaryotic large subunit ribosomal RNA
Source: RNAcentral
AAUAAGCGGAGGAAAAGAAACUAACAAGGAUUCCCCUAGUAACUGCGAGUGAAGCGGGAAAAGCUCAAAUUUAAAAUCUGGCAGUCUUUGAUUGUCCGAGUUGUAAUCUAGAGAAGUGUUAUCCGCGCUGGACCGUGUACAAGUCUCCUGGAAUGGAGCGUCAUAGAGGGUGAGAAUCCCGUCUUUGACACGGACUGCCAGGGCUUUGUGAUGCGCUCUCAAAGAGUCGAGUUGUUUGGGAAUGCAGCUCAAAAUGGGUGGUAAAUUCCAUCUAAAGCUAAAUAUUGGCGAGAGACCGAUAGCGAACAAGUACCGUGAGGGAAAGAUGAAAAGAACUUUGGAAAGAGAGUUAAACAGUACGUGAAAUUGCUGAAAGGGAAACGCUUGAAGUCAGUCGCGUUGUUUGGGAAUCAACCUUGCUUUUGCUGGGCGUACUUUCCAGAUAAUGGGUCAGCAUCAAUUUUGAUCGUUGGAUAAAGUCAGAAGGAAUGUGGCAUCUUCGGAUGUGUUAUAGCCUUUUGUCGUAUACAACGGUUGGGAUUGAGGAACUCAGCACGCCGCAAGGCCGGGUACUUGUACCACGUUCGUGCUUAGGAUGCUGGCAUAAUGGCUUUAAUCGACCCGUCUUGAAACACGGACCAAGGAGUCUAACAUGCCUGCGAGUAUUUGGGUGGAAAACCCGAGUGCGUAAUGAAAGUGAAAGUUGAGAUCCCUGUCGUGGGGAGCAUCGACGCCCGGACCAGACCUUUUGUGACGGAUCUGCGGUAGAGCAUGUAUGUUGGGACCCGAAAGAUGGUGAACUAUGCCUGAAUAGGGUGAAGCCAGAGGAAACUCUGGUGGAGGCUCGUAGCGAUUCUGACGUGCAAAUCGAUCGUCAAAUUUGGGUAUAGGGGCGAAAGACUAAUCGAACCAUCUAGUAGCUGGUUCC